This 253-nucleotide ribosomal RNA is filed under the name uncultured bacterium. RNAcentral describes it as "partial 16S ribosomal RNA". It matches the Rfam family "Bacterial small subunit ribosomal RNA", at positions 524 to 776 of the family's 1533-position model. The record is from RNAcentral.
UACGAAGGGGGCUAGCGUUGCUCGGAAUCACUGGGCGUAAAGGGUGCGUAGGCGGGUCCUUAAGUCAGGGGUGAAAUCCUGGAGCUCAACUCCAGAACUGCCUUUGAUACUGAGGAUCUUGAGUUCGGGAGAGGUGAGUGGAACUGCGAGUGUAGAGGUGAAAUUCGUAGAUAUUCGCAAGAACACCAGUGGCGAAGGCGGGUCACUGGUGCGCAACUGACGCUGAGGCACGAAAGCGUGGGGAGCAAACAGG